Molecule: ribosomal RNA, 468 nt
Filed under: uncultured bacterium
Lineage: Bacteria
Description: partial 16S ribosomal RNA
Rfam family: Bacterial small subunit ribosomal RNA
Source: RNAcentral
GACGAACGCUGGCGGCGUGCUUAACACAUGCAAGUCGAACGGAAAGGCCCUGCUUUUGUGGGGUGCUCGAGUGGCGAACGGGUGAGUAACACGUGAGUAACCUGCCCUUGACUUUGGGAUAACUUCAGGAAACUGGGGCUAAUACCGGAUAGGAGCUCCUGCUGCAUGGUGGGGGUUGGAAAGUUUCGGCGGUUGGGGAUGGGAUCGCGGCUUAUCAGCUUGUUGGUGGGGUAGUGGCUUACCAAGGCUUUGACGGGUAGCCGGCCUGAGAGGGUGACCGGGCAGGUGGGGACUGGGAGACGGACCGGACUCCACCGGGAGGCAGAAGUGGGGGGUAGGGCGGGAGGGGCGGGAGCCUGAAGCAGCGACGCCGGGGGGGGGAAGGCGGGCUGGGGGUUGUAAACCACUGUCCGCUGGGACGAAGAGCUAGUGACGGGAAUGGAAAAAGAAGCACCGGCCAAUUACGUG